RNAcentral lists this long non-coding RNA (375 nucleotides) under Brassica napus (rape). RNAcentral describes it as "long non-coding RNA (BNAP_LNC012085)". The record is from RNAcentral. Lineage: Eukaryota; Viridiplantae; Streptophyta; Magnoliopsida; Brassicales; Brassicaceae.
CAUUUCAUUAAUGUAGAAAAUUUGGUUCUGGAUGGUUGGCCUCUUCAUCACUUCAUUGAUGUCAAAGUGGAGGAUGUUCCCUUGUUCAAGAUGUAGAUCAAUCUUUUCUUGUCUAACAUUCACAAUAGCUCCAGCUGUGGCUAAGAAUGGUCUUCCAAGGAUUAAAGGGUCUUGGGCUUCCUCCCUCAUCUCCAACACAACAAAAUCAGUAGGGAUCUCAAAGUUACCAACCAUCAAGGGAAGGUCUUCUAAGAUACCAACAUGAAUCUUCACUAAUCUAUCAGCCAACACCAAAGAGAGUUUACACUUCUUGUAUUGAGUAAAUCCAAGCUUCUUUGCAAUAGAUAAAGGCAUCAAGCUGACACUAGCUCCAAG